UACGUAGGUGGCAAGCGUUGUCCGGAUUUACUGGGCGUAAAGGGCGUGCAGGCGGUUUGUUAAGUGCAGAGUGAAAGCUCCCGGCUCAACUGGGAGAGGUCUUUGCAUACUGGCAAACUCGAGGGAGGCAGAGGAAAGUGGAAUUCCCGGUGUAGUGGUGAUAUGCGUAGAUAUCGGGAGGAACACCUGUGGCGAAGGCGGCUUUCUGGGCCUUACCUGACGCUGAGGCGCGAAAGCGUGGGGAGCGAACCGG
RNAcentral lists this ribosomal RNA (253 nucleotides) under uncultured bacterium. Its description in RNAcentral is "partial 16S ribosomal RNA". It matches the Rfam family "Bacterial small subunit ribosomal RNA", at positions 524 to 776 of the family's 1533-position model. The record is from RNAcentral.